Molecule: long non-coding RNA, 1688 nt
Filed under: Piliocolobus tephrosceles (Ugandan red Colobus)
Lineage: Eukaryota; Metazoa; Chordata; Mammalia; Primates; Cercopithecidae
Description: lncRNA (ENSPTEG00000021048.1)
Source: RNAcentral
CUAUAUAUAGGAUUACACUCGAUUUAUUACUAUUAUAUAUAUCGAAAGCUAAUCCAAAAGGUGUUAAUAAAUUAAUAACAAAAGAAUUAUUUUCAAAAUGUACAUAAACUGUAUUAUUAUAUGGGUAAGUAAAAAUAUGAAUACCCAUAUAAUGUUUAUAAUCAAAUGCUAUAAAAUUACUUAAUCCAUCUAAUAUAUAAUUACAUUUAUAACAAUCCGAAUAACACUCGGCUUUAUUCAAUAAACUUACAAAAUUACCUCUAGCAUCAUAAUAACAUAGUUUUUUAUAUAAAUUUUUGUUUUCUGAACAGUGACUUAUGCUGGUAACAUGUGGUGCUAAUGCAUAUUUGUUUGUAACGUUAAUGAACGGUAGUUUUGCAUUUUCUUCCACAUAUUUUUCCGCAUUAUUAUCCACAUUAUUAUCCACAUUUUUAUCUGUAUUUUUAUCCACAUUAUUAUCCACAUUUUUAUCUGUAUUUUUAUCCACAUUUUUAUCCAUAUGUUUAUCCACAUUUUUAUCCACAUUUUUAUCCAUAUUUUUAUCCGUAUUUUUUAGUUUCUCUUCGUUUUCUUCUCCAUUUUCGUCAUAACUUUCUUCUUCAAAUUCUUCCACAUUUUCUUCAGUAUUUUCUUCAGUAUUUUCUUCUCCACUUUCUUCAUCAAUUCCUUCUCCACUUUCUUCUCCAAAUUCUUCUUCAACUUCUGCUUCAAAUUCCUCUGUGUCCUUUUCUGUGGGUACAUUUUCAUCCAGUUCUUUUUUUACAUUACUAUUACUGUUCAUAUUUAUAACCCGUCUUAAAUCUAAUUUACCUUUAUUUAUAGUACAAUUAUAUUGAUUGGUCCAAAUAAUAUUAAUUUGAUAUUUUUUAUCUUCUUUUUUUUUAAUUCAUUAUUUUUCAUUUUUUGAAAAAAAUUUUGUUUGUAACUUGUUAAAUUUUGUACAAAAGAAAUAUUGCUUUGUAUAUUUUUAUCUAAAUAUAUGUAUGCAUCAUAAAUGCUAAAAUACAUAUAAUUCAAAUCAUUGUUGUAUAGGUCUAUUAUGUUAUAUAUUUUUACUUUCCCAUUAUUGUCAUUAAUAACAUUCGUAUCGGUAAUAUUUUCAACUGUAUUACUACUAUUGUCAAUAACUAACAAAUAUAAACAAUUUUCUGCUGAUAUUUUUUCAUUCAAAACUUUUUUAGUAUUUACAAGUAGAUAAUGUAGUGUUUUUUUCACUUGUAUUAUUUUGAUCAUAAUUAAGAUCAGAAAUACUUACAGCGCUCAUAUUGAUAAUUUUAUCGCCAUUUUUAAAAAAAUAUAACUUCUCCGCUUUUUGUGGAAUUUCUGUUAAAAGCGUGUUACUUUUUUUUUUUCCUCCUUUUUUUUUUCAUUUCUUCAUUUUUUUGAGCUUUACUAUUAUUAUUAUUAUUAUUAUUUUGUACAUUUUUUUCUUGAUCUGACUGUUCAUUAUUUCCUACUUCUACAUUUCUGUUUAUGUUUAUUUUAUAUAUUUUAUCUGCAUUUUGAGAUAUAUAUAAAGUAUCUUUCACAACAGUAACUGCAUUAAGAACAGUUAACUUUUCACCUUCUAUAUUAUCAAUAAUACUUAAAACUUCAACGUAAUCUUUUUUUUAUUAUAUCUUGUAUGAACAAUAUAAUAUUUUUCAUUAAUUGCACAUAUAAUAAAAUAAUGUUUGGGUAUACUGUCA